This 482-nucleotide ribosomal RNA is filed under the name uncultured bacterium. Its description in RNAcentral is "partial 16S ribosomal RNA". It matches the Rfam family "Bacterial small subunit ribosomal RNA", at positions 30 to 507 of the family's 1533-position model. The record is from RNAcentral.
AUUGAACGCUGGCGGCAUGCUUUACACAUGCAAGUCGAACGGUAACAGGUCUUCGGAUGCUGACGAGUGGCGAACGGGUGAGUAAUACAUCGGAACGUGCCUAGUAGUGGGGGAUAACUACUCGAAAGAGUAGCUAAUACCGCAUGAGAUCUACGGAUGAAAGCAGGGGACCUUCGGGCCUUGUGCUACUAGAGCGGCUGAUGGCAGAUUAGGUAGUUGGUGGGGUAAAGGCUUACCAAGCCUGCGAUCUGUAGCUGGUCUGAGAGGACGACCAGCCACACUGGGGCUGAGACACGGCCCAGACUCCUACGGGAGGCAGCAGUGGGGAAUUUUGGACAAUGGGCGAAAGCCUGAUCCAGCAAUGCCGCGUGCAGGAUGAAGGCCCUCGGGUUGUAAACUGCUUUUGUACGGAACGAAAAGCCUGGGGCUAAUAUCCCCGGGUCAUGACGGUACCGUAAGAAUAAGCACCGGCUAACUACGUG